UGAGCGCAGCUGAGAGAGGGUACUAUUCCCUCCUUCAUGUUGUGCUUUCUCUGAAAUGUAUACCACAUUUUUAACAGGACUAGAUUCAUCAUGCAUGGGAAUUUCCAGAUGUUGAAGUUCUUCAGGAGGUAGUAGCUUCAAGCAACGUGGUGGAUCAAGCCGAUCCAAAUUCUCUUCCAUUUUCUUCUUUGAUUCAUCAACAGUCUGGUUAAUUUUCAAAUCCGGUGUCUUCUUUACAUCGUGCUCCAAUUCCACAUCCAAACUGGGCUUUUUACCAAUUCUCGAG
RNAcentral lists this unclassified non-coding RNA (286 nucleotides) under Hevea brasiliensis (rubber tree). The record is from RNAcentral. Lineage: Eukaryota; Viridiplantae; Streptophyta; Magnoliopsida; Malpighiales; Euphorbiaceae.